This 145-nucleotide ribosomal RNA is filed under the name uncultured eukaryote. Its description in RNAcentral is "partial small subunit ribosomal RNA". It matches the Rfam family "Eukaryotic small subunit ribosomal RNA", at positions 1296 to 1461 of the family's 1831-position model. The record is from RNAcentral.
AGUUGGUGGAGUGAUUUGUCUGGUUAAUUCCGUUAACGAACGAGACCUCAGCCUACUAAAUAGUGACGCGGAUCCUGGAUUCGCGGCGCACUUCUUAGAGGGACUAUGUGCGUUUAGCACAUGGAAGUUUGAGGCAAUAACAGGU